AGUGAACGCUGGCGGUAGGCCUAACACAUGCAAGUCGAACGGCAGCACGGUAAGAGCUUGCUCUUACGGGUGGCGAGUGGCGGACGGGUGAGGAAUACAUCGGAAUCUACUUUUUCGUGGGGGAUAACGUAGGGAAACUUACGCUAAUACCGCAUACGACCUACGGGUGAAAGCAGGGGAUCUUCGGACCUUGCGCGAUUGAAUGAGCCGAUGUCGGAUUAGCUAGUCGGCGGGGUAAAGGCCCACCAAGGCGACGAUCCGUAGCUGGUCUGAGAGGAUGAUCAGCCACACUGGAACUGAGACACGGUCCAGACUCCUACGGGAGGCAGCAGUGGGGAAUAUUGGACAAUGGGCGCAAGCCUGAUCCAGCCAUACCGCGUGGGUGAAGAAGGCCUUCGGGUUGUAAAGCCCUUUUGUUGGGAAAGAAAAGCAGCAGGUUAAUACCCCGCUGUUCUGACGGUACCCAAAGAAUAAGCACCGGCUAACUUCGUG
RNAcentral lists this ribosomal RNA (492 nucleotides) under uncultured bacterium. Its description in RNAcentral is "partial 16S ribosomal RNA". It matches the Rfam family "Bacterial small subunit ribosomal RNA", at positions 29 to 507 of the family's 1533-position model. The record is from RNAcentral.